This 938-nucleotide long non-coding RNA is filed under the name Carica papaya (papaya). Its description in RNAcentral is "long non-coding RNA (CPAP_LNC012965)". Lineage: Eukaryota; Viridiplantae; Streptophyta; Magnoliopsida; Brassicales; Caricaceae. The record is from RNAcentral.
AUAAAGAACUCGAUCUCCCGAUCUAAGGCUAGACUUAGAAGAUCUUCUGGAAAAAUAUCAAAAAAAUUCUUCACCACAGGUAUCUAUUGUAGAUUGACUUUUUAACUUUUAUUGUCCACUACAUAAGCUAAAUACCAUGCACAUCCCUUCUUAAAUAAUCAUUGAGCUUAAAUGAAAGAUAUGAGACAUGGAUGUUGAGGCUCCCUAAUCCUUUUGAAUUUGAAAGCCUUGUCAUUGGGAACAUUAAAGAUCACUAUUUUCCCAUGACAAUCUAUAUUGGCAUGGUACACUGCCAACCAAUCCAUUCCUACUAUGACGUCAAAAUCAUGUAUGUCUAGAAGUGUGAUCUACGGGUAACUCUUUGUUGGCAAUCUCCACAAUGCAUGCUAAGCAGACUGUACUAGUCGUCAAGUCCUUAUUGGCUGGGGUAGAGACUACUAAUACAUAAUCUAAAAGUGACUGUUUAAUGUUCAUAUUUUGAGCAAACUCAUGUGAUGCAAAAGAGUGUGUAGAUCCUGGGUCUAUGACCCUAGCUAAGGUACUAGAGAUAGUGAGCGUACCUUGGAUUACAUCUUCAGAGGCUUUAACAUCUCUCUCUGUAAUAGUAUAUACUCUUCCUUAAGUUCUUGGCCUAGUCUGCUCUUUGUUGAUAGGACACUCUUUGAUCUGAUGUUGGGUACUACUACAUUUGAAGCAUCCAUAUGUCAAUUUGUAGCAGGUCUGCUACCAUGGUUCUUUCCAUAAUGGGGCAGAUCUGCUAUGGCUCUUAUGUUGGAACUAUGAGACCUAUCUUUUACCUCUUAUGAAGUUGUUAUGGCUCUUGGGCCUUCUUCCUAUUAUUUAGUAUGAAUGGUCAAACCCACUAGAUCUGUUGUGGGAUUGGGCCUGUAGCCUUUUCUAGAAUAUGGGCUCGUUCUAGUGCUUCUUGGUAGUCAUUA